This 1518-nucleotide ribosomal RNA is filed under the name uncultured bacterium. RNAcentral's name for it is "bacterial SSU rRNA". It matches the Rfam family "Bacterial small subunit ribosomal RNA". The record is from RNAcentral.
AGAGUUUGAUCCUGGCUCAGGAUGAACGCUAGCGGCAGGCUUAACACAUGCAAGUCGAGGGGCAGCGCGGGGUAGCAAUACUCUGGCGGCGACCGGCGGAAGGGUGCGUAACGCGUGAGCAACAUGCCCGUGGCAGGGGGAUAAGCGAUGGAAACGUCGUCUAAGACCCCGUAACAACAGGGUUCGCAUGGACUUUGUUUGAAAGCUUCGGCGGCCACGGAUUGGCUCGCGUCCCAUUAGGCAGUUGGCGGGGUAACGGCCCACCAAACCGACGAUGGGUAGGGGUUCUGAGAGGAAGGUCCCCCACAAUGGAACUGAGACACGGUCCAUACUCCUACGGGAGGCAGCAGUGAGGAAUAUUGGUCAAUGGGCGGAAGCCUGAACCAGCCAUGCCGCGUGCAGGAAUAAGGCCCUACGGGUCGUAAACUGCUUUUGUACGGGAGCAAUAAGGGCCACGUGUGGUCCGAUGAGAGUACCGUACGAAUAAGCAUCGGCUAACUCCGUGCCAGCAGCCGCGGUAAUACGGAGGAUGCGAGCGUUAUCCGGAUUCAUUGGGUUUAAAGGGUGCGUAGGCGGCGUGCCAAGUCAGGGGUGAAAGGUUCCGGCUCAACUGGGACAGUGCCUUUGAUACUGGUGUGCUGGAGUGCGCUUGCCGUGGGAGGAAUGAGUGGUGUAGCGGUGAAAUGCUUAGAUAUCACUCAGAACACCGAUUGCGAAGGCAUCUCACGAAGGCGUAACUGACGCUGAGGCACGAAAGCGUGGGGAUCAAACAGGAUUAGAUACCCUGGUAGUCCACGCCGUAAACGAUGAUGACUAACCGCCGGUCCGAUAGGGUCGGUGGCCAAGCGAAAGCGAUAAGUCAUCCACCUGGGGAGUACGACCGCAAGGUUGAAACUCAAAGGAAUUGACGGGGGCCCGCACAAGCGGAGGAACAUGUGGUUUAAUUCGAUGAUACGCGAGGAACCUUACCCGGGCUCGAACGGCAAGUGAAGAGAGACAGAGAUGUUGACGUCCUUCGGGACACUUGUCGAGGUGCUGCAUGGUUGUCGUCAGCUCGUGCCGUGAGGUGUCGGCUCAAGUGCCAUAACGAGCGCAACCCCUGCUUCCAGUUACCAGCACGUAAAGGUGGGGACUCUGGAGGGACUGCCACCGCAAGGUGAGAGGAAGGGGAGGAUGACGUCAAAUCAGCACGGCCCUUACGUCCGGGGCGACACACGUGUUACAAUGGCGGCCACAGAGGGAAGCUACCCUGCGAGGGGAUGCGGAUCUCGAAAAGCCGUCUCAGUUCGGAUCGGAGUCUGCAACUCGACUCCGUAAAGCUGGAUUCGCUAGUAAUCGCGCAUCAGCCAUGGCGCGGUGAAUACGUUCCCGGGCCUUGUACACACCGCCCGUCAAGCCAUGGAAGCCGGGGGCGCCUGAAGUUCGUGACCGCGAGGAGCGACCUAGGGCGAACCUGGUAACUGGGGCUAAGUCGUAACAAGGUAGCCGUACCGGAAGGUGUGGCUGGAACACCUCCUU